Molecule: ribosomal RNA, 465 nt
Filed under: uncultured bacterium
Lineage: Bacteria
Description: partial 16S ribosomal RNA
Rfam family: Bacterial small subunit ribosomal RNA
Source: RNAcentral
AAUCAACGCUGGCGGCGUGCCUCAGACAUGCAAGUCGAACGAUUAAACUUCCCUUCGGGGAAGAUAUAAAUUGGCGCACGGGUGAGUAACACGUAUGUAAUGUACCUUUGGGUGGGGAAUAACUUAUGGAAACUUAAGCUAAUACCGCAUAAUGCAGCGUCUCCUUCGGGAGACAGUUGUUAAAGAUUUAUCGCCUAAAGAGCAGCCUGCGGCAGAUUAGCUAGUUGGUAAGGUAACGGCUUACCAAGGCUACGAUCUGUAUCCGAUCUGAGAGGGUGGUCGGACACACUGACACUGAGUAACGGGUCAGACUCCUACGGGAGGCAGCAGUCGGGAAUUUUGGGCAACGGGGGAAGGCCUGACCCAGCAACGCCGCGUGAAGGAUGAAGUCUGUAGAGAUGUAAACUUCGUAAGAAUAGGAAGAAUAAGUGACGGUACUAUUUGUAAGGUCCGGCUAACUACGUG